This is a long non-coding RNA of Lathyrus oleraceus (garden pea), 2601 nucleotides long. RefSeq lists it as uncharacterized. The record is from RefSeq and is a predicted model, not a curated record. The transcript is spliced from 2 exons. Lineage: Eukaryota; Viridiplantae; Streptophyta; Magnoliopsida; Fabales; Fabaceae.
GGAUACGUAGGGCACUCUACAGAAACUUGUCAUGUUCCCAAGGCUAUAGUUCAAGAGCUCAUCGAUCAGAAGCUUUUGAGCUUUACACUUGAAGCGCCUAUUGAGAAAAGGUUUGAAUACAAGGGUCCUCCAAUUCAUGUGCAAAUUCAUCCACAUGUGGUUCAACCUGCUGCGCAGUAUCCGAAUCAAGGAUACCAUCCUGGAAUAUUGUUGGACUAUCCUGAGGAAUCAUCUUCUACUAUUGUUGCACCUCAGUAUGCUUAUGUUGGGGCACUCUGUACCCCCAUUUGGAGUUCGUUAUGGCCCGACUUAUCAAACAAUCAAUCAUGGCUUGGUGCAUUUUGCUUAGAUAUUCCAACCUAUGGUUGUUCCUCAUAUUCACUCUCAGUCUUAAAUAUCUUCGGUGCCUAUGCCAUGCUACUCAGCUCCACUUAGUCUUACGUCCCAGUAUCAGCCGUCUCCUCAGGCUCAAAUCCUGAAAACGAACACAUAUAGGAAGAAGUAAAUGCCAUUAAUGCGCCCCUGCCGAGCAGAGAACUAAUUCAGCAUAAGACUUGUGUCGCUCCACCUUCCCUUUCACAUUAGAAGCUCCUUCUGCCAUACCGGAGAUAUCCUCCGGCAGCGGAGACGCUUCUAAUUCUACAAAACAGACGUCGCAUCACUCAUUUUAACAUGUUGAGCAUGAGUCCACUCAUGAGAACCUUCCAAUCCUUCUGGAAUACUCAGAUCGAAGCAUAAAUACGACGAACCCUAGGUCGGAGAGGAUCCAAUUAAACGCAGUUCUCCAAGAAUUGAAGCCUCAUAUGAGAGUGCUUUGAUUCUUGAAGGGAAUCACUAUACGCUUACAUGUUAAACAACAUGAAUCGAAGGUGAGUCGGAAACCUACCUCUCCGGAGAAGACAACAGAGAUAGGAACAUCAACGAUUUGCUCCAGGAAUGGUAUGUGAGUGUGCAAUUUCCAGAGAUUUUGGAGAGCUUGAGACGGACGAACUGUUGUAGCAGAGAGAGAGAACGAUCCUCCCUUUUGAUUAUGAUUGACAAUGGUCUUAUAUAGAGGAUUCGGUUGCAACUCUGUUAUGCUACGUUAAUCUUGCCCUGUGUAGAUUAGUUAGGAUUGGAUAACUCUGUUGUGCUCUGUUACAAUUUGUUAGGGGUUUGAGCAAACUGGUUUUUUUUUCUGUUUCAGUUUGGAAUUGGCGUAAAUCAGUUAGAAGUUUGUGUCAGUUGUGGAGUUCUGUUAUUUCUGGUUAUGUGAUUGUGAUGCUGAUGGAACUUAACUCGUGAUGUAGGUAUGAUACGCGGAUGUGCUUGUUAUCGGGACUUCUGCCCGGCAGUAGCAGAUAUUUAGCUAAUUAUUGAAUUUUGGUAGGUGAGUUGAAGCACAAAGGGUAUGAACUGGUUGUUCUCUUAUGAUCACUGGCCUUAUGAUCCUUGCUAGAUUUAUUCAAAUCGGAAGAUUCAAAUAUCAAUGGACCAGAUUUUGUGCUAACUUGUUUAAAGCUUUGUUUCAGAAGGGUAGGUCCCUCUUUGCAACUUAAACUUCUUCCUAAUCAAUUCAAGCCAAAGCUAAGUUGAUUUCGGGACAAGUUAUUCAUGUCAUACUCUGUUGAUUCUUUCGUAUUACGGAAAGAAUACUGCUUUCUUUGCUUAAUGUCUAACAUUUCUUUUUCAAUGCAAGUAUCUUUAUUAGGUUUGAAACUAAACAUCUUAUUCAAGCAACCAGGUUUCUCCGAUCGAGCAGAAAAAAAAUCAACAUCUAGAUCAAUAUCGAAAUUGUCCUACGUUGAAGAAGAAGCAAGGCUAGCCACAAAAGGGGGAAUAUUUUUGGUGUAAGCCUCCUCGGGAAGGGAAAUAUAAGAUGAGCUACUCAAGCUUGAUUCUGAAAAGAUUUCGUCAGACGAAGCUAUUGAUAGAGAAUGUGGAAAAUAGUCUUGGAAAUUCGACUACAGAAACUUUCGCGGACGAAGCAAAACAAUGUCUCUUGAUAUGGUUCAAUAUCUGAGUCCUGCCACUGAUUCUUUUUUAGCUUGGCUUCACUUCUUCUAGAACUCAUUUUCAUCUCAGAGCUAAGUGAGACACAUUUAUCUUUACCUUCCAACGAUGGAAAUUGGUUAUCGAAACAAGAAUUAAAACCUCUCUCUUUUUUCCUUUAUCUAUCUGAGGUCUUAUGUCGAAAUUAGACCACAUCUUAGCAGAUAGCUUCUUCAACAGCUCAUAUAUAUUCAGAUUUUUCUUUCCAUAGUCUCUUCUUUGAUCUGCCAAUUCUGAAAAAGGAGUAUGUUAUGUUUAUUGUUUAGGUGGAAAAUGACAGAAACUUGUUUGGAAGAUCCCGAGGAAGAUCAGAAAUGUGAAAUUAAGGAAUGAAGAAAGUUAAGGUUGGAAGCAAAGUAAAGAGGAAGUGGGAAUCAAUGGCGGUGGCACUGUUAGAGGUAGUGAAUGAUUCUUUGCACGUUACUGUUGAUGAUGAUGAAGUCUACUUUGUUAUUGGUAUUGUAUAAAAAAUAGGUGUAAUUGUGUUACAUCUUUUGAAUGAUUGGAAUUGGAAUUUUGUUGUGCAUUUUGUAACUUCUUUUUGGUUUGAAAUAUUCGGUUUGAAUCUAA